UACGUAGGGUGCGAGCGUUAAUCGGAUUUACUGGGCGUAAAGCGUGCGCAGGCGGCCCGUUAAGACAGGUGUGAAAUCCCUGGGCUCAACCUAGGAAUUGCGCUUGUGACUGGCGGGCUCGAGUACGGUAGAGGGGGGUGGAAUUCCUGGUGUAGCAGUGAAAUGCGUAGAGAUCAGGAGGAACACCGAUGGCGAAGCCAGCCCCCUGGGCCUGUACUGACGCUCAUGCACGAAAGCGUGGGGAGCAAACAGG
Molecule: ribosomal RNA, 253 nt
Filed under: uncultured microorganism
Description: partial 16S ribosomal RNA
Rfam family: Bacterial small subunit ribosomal RNA
Source: RNAcentral